RNAcentral lists this long non-coding RNA (329 nucleotides) under Homo sapiens (human). RNAcentral describes it as "non-protein coding lnc-PIEZO2-9:1". The record is from RNAcentral. Lineage: Eukaryota; Metazoa; Chordata; Mammalia; Primates; Hominidae.
CUGGUGUGAGGAGUGUGUGUAGUGUGUGGUGUGUGUGGUUGUGUGGUGUGUGUGAUGUGUGUGUGGUGUGAGGUGUGUGUGAGUGUGUGGGGUGUGGUGCUGGUAUGGUGUGAAGAGUCUGUGCAAUAGUGUGUGGGGUGUGGUGUAAGGUGUGUGUAACCAUAUAUGAGGUGUGAAGUGUGUGAGCAUGUGUGUGGUGUGAGAUGUGUGAGGUGUGUAUAUGUGUAGUGUGAGGUGAGUGGUGUGAAGUGUGAAGUGUGUGUGAGCAUGUGUGUGGUGUGAAGUGUGUGUGAUCAUGUGUGUGGUGUGAGGUGUAUGUUGUCAGGUGU